This 77-nucleotide transfer RNA is filed under the name Bacillota bacterium. Its description in RNAcentral is "tRNA-Arg". It matches the Rfam family "tRNA". From Rfam's summary of the family: Transfer RNA (tRNA) molecules are approximately 80 nucleotides in length. Their secondary structure includes four short double-helical elements and three loops (D, anti-codon, and T loops). Further hydrogen bonds mediate the characteristic L-shaped molecular structure. tRNAs have two regions of fundamental functional importance: the anti-codon, which is responsible for specific mRNA codon recognition, and the 3' end, to which the tRNAs corresponding amino acid is attached (by aminoacyl-tRNA synthetases). tRNAs cope with the degeneracy of the genetic code in two manners: having more than one tRNA (with a specific anti-codon) for a particular amino acid; and 'wobble' base-pairing, i.e. permitting non-standard base-pairing at the 3rd anti-codon position. Lineage: Bacteria; Bacillati; Bacillota. The record is from RNAcentral.
GCCCUCAUAGCUCAGCUGGACAGAGCAACUGCCUUCUAAGCAGUGGGUCGGACGUUCGAGUCGUCUUGAGGGCGCCA